UUCCUACGGGGGGCUGCAGUGAGGAAUAUUGCGCAAUGGGGGCAACCCUGACGCAGCAACGCCGCGUGAGUGAGGAAGGUUUUCGGACCGUAAAGCUCUGUCGAGCGGGAAGAAAUGCAUAAUGGCUAAUAUCCAUUAUGCUUGACGGUACCGCUAAAGGAAGCACCGGCUAACUCCGUGCCAGCAGCCGCGGUAAUACGGGGGGUGCGAGCGUUGUUCGGAAUCAUUGGGCGUAAAGAGCGUGUAGGCGGCUGGAUAAGUCAGAUGUGGAAGCCCUGGGGUUAACCCAGGAAGUGCAUUUGAAACUGUUCAGCUGGAGUAAGGGAGAGGAAAGUGGAAUUCCUGGUGUAGGGGUGAAAUUCGUAGAUAUCAGGAGGAACACCGGUGGCGAAGGCGACUUUCUGGCCCUAUACUGACGCUGAGACGCGAGAGCGUGGGUAGCAAACAGGAUUAGAUACCCCAGUAGUC
RNAcentral lists this ribosomal RNA (468 nucleotides) under uncultured Syntrophus sp. RNAcentral's name for it is "bacterial SSU rRNA". It matches the Rfam family "Bacterial small subunit ribosomal RNA", at positions 336 to 795 of the family's 1533-position model. Lineage: Bacteria; Pseudomonadati; Thermodesulfobacteriota; Syntrophia; Syntrophales; Syntrophaceae. The record is from RNAcentral.